AAACACCAAAAAAUGCCCAAAACACAAUUAAUUGGGAUCUGAUUGAUCCCUUUCUUCUUCUUUGGCCAUUACCAAAAUGAUGGCCGCUCUUCAUAAUCUUCAUAAUCUCCAUAUCUUCUUAUGGAAGCAGCUUCCAUAAUCUUCAUGUGAUUCAACAUGGACUCCGAUGGCAGCCUCAUUUAGCUCGAACUUGCCGCCUUGCUUUGGUCGCUGGACUAGCUCCACGUCCUCGUCGCCAACGAAAACGACAUCGUCGAGUUCGAAGAGCUAGUCAUCGCCCUCUUGCCCGACAUGAACGAGGAGAUACUCAUCAUCUAGGAGUAGCUCGUGGAGGUCGCUGUGUGGGUCGGACUCGCGCUUUCAAAAUAGCACGCUCGCUAUUUUGCGAACUGCAUUUCAUCCUCACUGAAUUGGACGAGCGAGUUCGGAGUUUUUUUUGACUUAUGGACUAUACAAUCC
This 459-nucleotide long non-coding RNA is filed under the name Prunus dulcis (almond). RNAcentral describes it as "sRNA ncRNA". Lineage: Eukaryota; Viridiplantae; Streptophyta; Magnoliopsida; Rosales; Rosaceae. The record is from RNAcentral.